CACUAAUAGUUCUAUAACAAAACAAUUCGCCAGAGAACUACUAGCAACAGCUUAAAACUCAAAGGACUUGGCGGUGCUUUAUAUCCCUCUAGAGGAGCCUGUUCUAUAAUCGAUAAACCCCGAUAAACCUCACCAUCCCUUGCUAAUACAGUCUAUAUACCGCCAUCUUCAGCAAACA
This 178-nucleotide ribosomal RNA is filed under the name Vulpes vulpes (red fox). RNAcentral's name for it is "partial small subunit ribosomal RNA". The record is from RNAcentral. Lineage: Eukaryota; Metazoa; Chordata; Mammalia; Carnivora; Canidae.